AUUGUUGUAAGCAAAGGGCAUCACUGAACAAUUCUGAAUCCCAAAAAGGAUGAAAACUUUGAGCGAAAAAAGAACAAUGAGAUAAGAAAUUGAGAAAGAAAAGAAAAAGGGUAAUCGUGGCAGACGACAAAAACACCAUUUUGGCUGAAUUGCAUUUGUUAAUAUUAAUUUUUAUAUCAAACGGUUAUUAUUAAUCUGUUUUUCCAAGUUU
This 211-nucleotide long non-coding RNA is filed under the name Cicer arietinum (chickpea). RNAcentral's name for it is "long non-coding RNA (CARI_LNC001650)". Lineage: Eukaryota; Viridiplantae; Streptophyta; Magnoliopsida; Fabales; Fabaceae. The record is from RNAcentral.